RNAcentral lists this ribosomal RNA (253 nucleotides) under uncultured bacterium. RNAcentral describes it as "partial 16S ribosomal RNA". It matches the Rfam family "Bacterial small subunit ribosomal RNA", at positions 524 to 776 of the family's 1533-position model. The record is from RNAcentral.
UACGAAGGGUGCAAGCGUUACUCGGAAUUACUGGGCGUAAAGCGCGUGUAGGCGGCCCUGCAAGUCGGAUGUGAAAUCCCACGGCUCAACCGUGGAAGUGCAUUCGAAACUGCAGGGCUAGAGUCCUGGAGAGGAAGGUGGAAUGCUUGGUGUAGAGGUGAAAUUCGUAGAUAUCAAGCGGAACACCGGUGGCGAAGGCGGCCUUCUGGACAGUGACUGACGCUGAGACGCGAAAGCGUGGGGAGCAAACAGG